CUCAACACUGCGUGAACGGUUACGUCAGAUAGGUUGGAUGGUAGCAUUUUCGAAGUAACUGGAACGCGCUGUCUUUGCAUUAUUAACUUCAAAAGAAGUCUAAGUUUUAUAAAGUAAAGAACUAAGAAUACAUUAAAGGUAUUUUAAAUAUAUUCCCUACUUAGAGAAUUAUACUACGUGGACCAUAUUUUGGGAUCAUAGAUAAGGAAACUAACAUAUUAACCAACGGUCACAACGUAGUUCUUCGAAGUUAACACUGAUGAUCUAAGACAAAUUGAACUUAGCUUCAUUUGCUAAAGACAAGAAGAUCAUACUGUGGAGGGUAGCUCUCCACAUUCUCCUUUAUUUGGAACUGGUUCUGUGUGAAAACUUCCUGCAGUAUUUGUCACAAUGAGUGAGAUUUGGGUACAAUGCUUUACAUGUUGCAUGACAGAACAGCCUCCUCCCAAAAGACGAAGAAGGAUAGACCGCUCCAUGAUUGGAAGCCCUACUAAUUUCAGGCAUACUGCCCAUGUAGGUUCUGGUGAUGGCAGUGCUCAGGUGAAUCGACUACAGAAUCAAAUGGCUUCCAAAGGAGGGUAUGAAUAUUGUCUGCCAGUCAAUGUGCAUAUACCAGUUGUGGAUGUAAAGAACUAGAGCUCUUCAGUCACAAAAAUCACUGAGCAUGAGUCCUGAAAGAACCUCGAAGUUCAAUCUCUCACAGCAUCAGUCUUAAUAUUGCAGCAUUUGUGUAAAAGACAAAACUUCUUAUUAGACUAGUGAUCCCAUUCAGAGUAUUGACUGUGGACUUUGAGAGACUGGUGAAUUGUGAGAGACCAGGAAAAUCAUCUCAAGAUUUCUUCCUCAAAUGAUUUUAGAAUGUAGAAGUUUUCUUUCAAUUCUCUGCAGGAAAGCUACCACAAGAAUGUUGUGAAUUGGUGAUAAUUCAUGAAUGGAUUGCUUCUGUUUUUCAGUGACUGUCUGUUUUUCUUUGUUACAGAGACUAAACCUGAAUACUAAAGGGGUGUGUGUGUGUGGAUAUAUGCUGUAUAGUUUAAUAAUUUUAUUCUUAUAGUUAAGAAUUAAAAAUAGUACUGUGAAUGACCUUGUAUGUAAUUUUAAUAAAUUAGUUGCUGUUUACACAGGUGACUCUUUACAGUAUUAAAAAUACUUCCAAGGGAUAUUCAAGUAUACAUUUAAAAAGCCAACUGUUAAAACACCAGAAAUUUGUCAUUUUACUGCCUACCUUAGAUGAUUAAUUUAUAUUCGUGUAAAAAAAAAUUGACAUUUCUACUAAGCUUUUUAUUGCACUCUUGCUGUAUUUUGGAUUUAAGCCAUAAAAUAUUGGAAAUGUUUUGAAUUAAUUUUGUUCUUGAUCUCAUUUGUGCCUAAAAUUUUUUCUCUGUAGUUGAAUAAUGCAGUUACCAUUCUUUAGCUGUGCUUAAAAAAUAUUUACUGCAUGGUAGACUAUCUGAAGAACGUACGAUCAGGAAAGAUAGAAUAUAAUGCAUUUUUUCAUAGAAUAAAAUAACAAAAUCAUAAAACAACUAUUAAACUUAAUAGAAAUUAUAAUAUUUAAAGCUCAUAGAUGUAUGAAAAAUGCUGAGAAAUGUAAUAAUUUUAAAAUUCAAUGUUUAAAGUAGCAGAAAUGUAUAGUAUUGUUUGAUUCAUAGAUUUUAGAGGAUAUAAUGUUGUAACAUUCUCUCACUUUGACCAUUUAUGAAAUAUUAUAGUUGUGUUUUUCUAGUGUUAACUGUUAUGUAUGAAAAGAAAAACACGACUGAAGAGACUUGUGAAGAACUUCUGAUUCCAGUAAUGUUGUUCUCACAUGUUUUUCGUAUAAACUGUUUGUUUGUUUGUUUGUUUUAUCAGUCAUUUAAUAGGUGAAUGCUGUAUUUUAGAAAUAUGUUUAGAAGAAAAAAAUUAUUGGAUAACAUUUUAGAAAGUGUUAAAACAGUUUUUUUUUUUUAAAUGUAACAAAUUAAAAAAUUCUAAGACAUUUGACAAUAAGAAUGUAUAGUUGUCAAAAUUUAAUGAUUAUUGUUACUUGCUGUCAAAUUUAACGAUCAAAAUAAAUAUAUUGUAGCUGCCAAAACUUGCUGAUACCCGUAUGGAACUAUAUUAGAGUAAAAACCCAGAAUUAUUAAUAAACAGUAUAUAUUCGUAGCUUUAAAACAUAAUAAAUAAAUCAGAAACUGUAUUGUUCUCACAUUGAUUUGUGUACAUGUUUCUUAUUAAAAGCAGUUUUAUAUAUAGUGCUGUACUGAUGUACAAAGUGUUUUGAACAACCAUUUAAUUUUCCUUUUGUAUGAAAUGUUAAGUAACUUGGGGAUAAUAGUAGAGUGCAUUGUUUUAGUGUGGGUGUAAUUUUUUAACUAAUCAUUAACAGAUAUGCAUAAUUUAUUUUGAAUUUCUUCAGUAGAAAUGUUGUCAGUCUACCUUCUGUAUUUGAAUUGUUUUUAUAUAGAUUUAAGACUAAUGAAAGUUACAUUUUUUAGUCAUUUCAAAACAAACAUUCGUAAAAGUAAAGGCUUUGAUUGCUAACUAUAUUGUUCAUUGAAUAAUAUUUUAAAAUGUGUUUAAUUUGGAAAUUAUUCAGUAUUUAAAUGUGAAAUGUUAAUUCUUUUUUAAACUAAAAGUUUUUAUUAAGAAUUAAUGUAAUAAACUGCUCUUCAGCUAUGAAUUCUAAAGGAUAUUUGUUUUCUGUAUUGUUCAACCAAGUUUUAUAAUCUGUCUUCUGGUUCUGAUCUGUAGAUAAUGUGUUUGUCUGUGUAGACACAGAACCAAUAAAAGAAAUGUUACUAUCAACACUGUUAUAAGAGAAUUUUAAACAAGUUAUAAAUAAUAAAUAUGUUCAUGAUAGA
RNAcentral lists this unclassified non-coding RNA (2843 nucleotides) under Limulus polyphemus (Atlantic horseshoe crab). RNAcentral's name for it is "cDC42 small effector protein 2-like, transcript variant X2". The record is from RNAcentral. Lineage: Eukaryota; Metazoa; Arthropoda; Merostomata; Xiphosura; Limulidae.